This 823-nucleotide small RNA is filed under the name Pan troglodytes (chimpanzee). RNAcentral describes it as "processed transcript". Lineage: Eukaryota; Metazoa; Chordata; Mammalia; Primates; Hominidae. The record is from RNAcentral.
CCAGCGCUGGCGCCCUGGCGGCGCGGAAGCCCGCGGCCAAAUGACUCGACGGGGGCAAAGGAGGACAACAGUUCCCACCAGGACAAAAAAUAAUAUCCAAAGAUAUUUUGGCACUAACGGCGCUAUCUGUAGCAAGAAAGUUGAGCAGUGUGAACUGUUGAGACUUCCAAGGAAACUUCAGACAACCAAGAAAGUGUAAAGGAAAACAGAGAAAAAGACUUGUUAGACAUUAUUAAGGGCACGAAAGUUGAAUUGAGCACAGUAAAUGUACAAACAACAAAGCCACCCAACAGAAGUUCACUUAAAAGCUACAACUGGCGGGCCUCAAAGAGCUUUAGGACAUGCUCCAAAGAAGAGAAAUGAGCCCCUGAGUCCUGAGUUGGUGGCAGCUGCAUCUGCUGCUGUGUUUUGACAAGCAAACAAGCCAGAACUGCUCAGGCAGCUCCGUAGCAUGAGGAAGAGUCAGGGGCACAGAGAGAUGGAGAGAGACCUAAUUAGGAAAAAUAUAUUCAAGGGGAAGAGAUGUAAUAGAUUUCACAUUAUGGCAGUUACUAAAGAAGCACGUGAACAGACACAUCACCUUCGCUUUGGGGUAUGGAAUUUGAUAAGCAGUUAGCCACAGAAUAUGAACAACCCCUUUAGAAUGAGAUUGAAGAACUGAUCCAGGGGACAAAAGAGGGGAAACUGAGAGUUCCCAAUUAAUAAUGAAGCAGCUUCAUGUCUAAGAUCUCUGGUGGACUUUUUCUGCCCGUGGACGCCACUGAAGAAGCAUCGUUAAAGUCUCCCUUCACCCUGCUGUCAUGUCUAAGUCAGCGUCUCCAAA